GCCCUGUGAUGAGACCAAGGCGAAUAUGAGCCGACUGAACAGGAGUUGAUGAGCUCUUGCCCUGAGAGAGGCAGGUAAUCUUGGCGGGGCAGAGGAGCCUUUCUGCUCCGCUGUAAGGGUCUGCCUACAGUAAAGUGGCUUCCAUCAAAGUUAUUCUCUUUUAAGUUUCAGAAGAGUAACCCGUAAAAGCCCGACAGUGCGGUCGGUCGAUGUUUCAGAGGCUCGAAGCUUAUUCAACUCCAGUUACUGUUUGGUUUGCAAUGUGUUCUUUCUUUGGUAAUCUGAGGGCU
This 290-nucleotide small nucleolar RNA is filed under the name Neogobius melanostomus (round goby). The record is from RNAcentral. Lineage: Eukaryota; Metazoa; Chordata; Actinopteri; Gobiiformes; Gobiidae.